AACUACUAGAUCUUUUUACAUGGCUGCCUUAGCCGACUGUGUUAAAAUAGACUCUCACAGAACGACAAUUCACUCUGCCAACAGAUGUUCCCUGAAGAACAAGUGCUUCUGAGAAUUCUAGAUUGCAAAGGUGAGUAAGCCAUGGCCUUGGCUUCAAUGUUACAUACUCCAGAACUGAAUGCUUACUACUUCAGAAAAGUUGAAUUUUCUUCUCUUGAAAAGAUUCUGUGACAUAAUGGAAAAAACAAGGACUUUAAACCACCAAGAUUAGAGUUCAAGUUCCAUUCCACACCUACAAACAAGAUAUGUGUCUUUUCUAUCCUGAAGUCUGCAGCCUUGCCUUCAGUUUUCUCCCCCCACAUAAUGAGGUAUAAAUCUCUAUUAACAUUGCAAUUAGUGUGCACGUAUUUUCUGCUUUCUAAGAAAACAAUGGAAAUAACAAGGACUUUAAACCACUG
Long non-coding RNA from Callithrix jacchus (white-tufted-ear marmoset), 458 nucleotides. Lineage: Eukaryota; Metazoa; Chordata; Mammalia; Primates; Cebidae. The record is from Ensembl.